AUUUGCAUAAAAAAUCCACUUAUUUUGGGCUUUUGCAAAAUCGGGCCACCUUUUUCGUUUUUGCAGAUUCGGUCCGCUUUUUCAGCAAACUGACCAAAAUACCCUUAUUACUUUUUCUCUUUCCUCUUUCUCUCUCCUCUUCGUUCUCUCGUUCUUUUUUUUUCCGCCGUAAAAAAAAGCGAAAGCCAGGCUGAGCAAUUUUUUCUUCUCUUUUUCUUUUUCUUCUUCUUCUUCUUCCUGCUGGAGCACCUUUUUUUUUCCCUCUUCUUCUUCUUCUUCUUCUUCUUCUUGUUCCUGUAA
This 300-nucleotide long non-coding RNA is filed under the name Ananas comosus (pineapple). RNAcentral's name for it is "long non-coding RNA (ACOM_LNC020968)". Lineage: Eukaryota; Viridiplantae; Streptophyta; Magnoliopsida; Poales; Bromeliaceae. The record is from RNAcentral.